This is a long non-coding RNA of Erinaceus europaeus (western European hedgehog), 1385 nucleotides long. RefSeq lists it as uncharacterized. Lineage: Eukaryota; Metazoa; Chordata; Mammalia; Eulipotyphla; Erinaceidae. The record is from RefSeq and is a predicted model, not a curated record. The transcript has 4 exons.
UACAAGGUGGGAAAAGAAAUCCUAAUGACUAUAAAUAUCAACAUCUGCCUCUUGGGGACACAUCUGUCCAGUCUAAGUUUAACCAGGUACAGGGCUAAAAAGGACUUGAACACAGACAGCAGUUUUAAAUUGAAAUGUUCUCUAAGGACAAAACAGACAUUAGAUUUCAAAAGACUUUGCCCCCCACACACACCCAUACACACACAGGAAAAAAGCUCAUUAAUAAUUAUUUGUAUUGAGUUACAUGCCAACGUGAUAUUUUGAACCAUUGGGGUGAAAUGAAACAUUAUCAUUAAAAUUAAUUUCAACUGUGCUUUUAAAUUCUUCUGAAUGCAGUCCUAGAAAAUGUAAAUCACGUACGCGACUCACAUUGUAGUUCUAUUAGACAGUGCUGGUUUUGAUUUUUAAAUAUAAAUCAUUUGGAACUUUCCUGAUCCCCAGUGUUUUGGAUGAUUAUUUUAUUCAGACUUCUAAAUGCUAAUUAACUUUGAAGUCCACUCAGCAGCUAUAAAAUACCCACUGCUCUUCAAUUACGAAGGCACAAAAGGUUCCUUGUUAGCUGCCCUCUGCCAGUUGGUCCCUGGGACUAGAGUUGAAGAUACUGAGCAUGACCUUUUAAAUACUGGCAUGCUCCAGUCUUUACAAAGCACAAAUGUUUCCAAAUAAGGCAGGCCCACAAAACUUCUUCUGAACUCUUUAAGAUGCCUGAUCAAAAGGGCUGCCUUUUGAACAUGAUUAAAGAUGGGGCUGAGAAGACAGAUGACUUCUCACACAAAGAUGACUUCUUGCGUCAGAGGGAUAGCUCAGUGACAGUACACAGAGCUUGUACAUGAGAGGUCUUGGGUUCAAUCAGUGCCACUGCAAAAAAAAAAAAAAAAAAGCCAGAGCUGAGAGGUGCUUUGCUAGGGAAGGAAGAAGGGAGGCUUCUCUGUGGGGUAUUACGUCUGCUGGAACCGUGUAGUGUUGGAUCACAGGAGAGCUGUGUCUUUCAACAUUCCUAGCCUUGGGGAAAAGCUGGCCUGAAAGAUAAUGUCCAGUCCAUUGCCCCACUCAAUGAAAAUUAAGACAGAAUCCACAGCACAAGAUUAAAAGAACAGCACCACGUCUCUUUUUAUCUGUAUGACUGGCUUGGAACACCCUAUUCAAGCCUUUCACUCUGAGUCUCCCAUCUGUCUGAUGUGAGACUUCUCGCACACACAGUGGGGGAUGGAGCCUUACACUUUGUGACUAGUCAGUCCGAGCUGGUGUGAAAGGAGAGAGGCUACAUCUUGGGCAUUUCUGCAACCUGGCAUUCCACACAGAUUGUGUGCAGACUGAAAGAAACAGGACAAAUAAAUAUCCGUCAACAGAGAGAGUGCUCCAUUUACGGUACGCAUGCUAAGGUA